This 66-nucleotide non-coding RNA is filed under the name unclassified sequences. RNAcentral describes it as "int-alpA RNA". It matches the Rfam family "int-alpA RNA". Rfam says of the family: Acidobacteria (1 example), Planctomycetes (1 example), Proteobacteria. The record is from RNAcentral.
GGCGUAGAUAGGGUAGCUCCCGACAAGCUGCAACCUUUCACAGUUUCUACGCCGAUUAAAGAAAGG